This 435-nucleotide ribosomal RNA is filed under the name uncultured bacterium. Its description in RNAcentral is "partial 16S ribosomal RNA". It matches the Rfam family "Bacterial small subunit ribosomal RNA", at positions 29 to 507 of the family's 1533-position model. The record is from RNAcentral.
AGCGAACGCUGGCGGCAGGCCUAACACAUGCAAGUCGGACGGUAACCUUCAGCCGCUUGCGGCAGUCGUGAGAAUAGCACGAGGGGACGUUCAUUUCUGGUCAAAACCACGCUGGGAGGGGGGAACUACUAGCGGAUGCACCUUAUACCGGAUAGGUUUACUGACGAAGGAUCGGCGCGCGUCUGAUUAGUUGGUAUGUGGGGUAACGCCCUAUCAAGGCGACGAUCAGUAGCUGGCCUGAGAGGAUGAUCAGCCACACUGGGACUGAGACACGGCCCAGACUCCUACGGGAGGCAGCAGUGGGGAAUAUUGGACAACGGGCGCAAGCCUGAUCCAGCCAUGCCGCGUGAGUGAUGAAGGCCUUAGGGUUGUAAAGCUCUUUUGUCCGGGACGAUAAUGACGGUACCGGAAGAAUAAGCCCCGGCUAACUUCGUG